CCUACGGGUGGCAGCAGUGAGGAAUAUUGGUCAAUGGACGAGAGUCUGAACCAGCCAAGUAGCGUGAAGGAUGACUGCCCUAUGGGUUGUAAACUUCUUUUAUAUGGGAAUAAAAUGUUCCACGUGUGGGAUUCUGUAUGUACCAUAUGAAUAAGGAUCGGCUAAUUCCGUGCCAGCAGCCGCGGUAAUACGGAGGAUCCGAGCGUUAUCCGGAUUUAUUGGGCUUAAAGGGAGCGUAGGUGGGUUGUUAAGUCAGUUGUGAAAGUGUGCGGCUCAACCGCAAAAUUGCAGUUGAAACUGGCAGUCUUGAGUACAGUAGAGGUGGGCGGAAGUCGUGGUGUAGCGGUGAAAUGCUUAGAUAUCACGAAGAACUCCGAUUGCGAAGGCAGCCCGCUGGACUGCAACUGACACUGAGGCUCGAAGGUGUGGGUAUCAAACAGGAUUAGAUACCCGUGUAGUC
This 460-nucleotide ribosomal RNA is filed under the name uncultured bacterium. RNAcentral's name for it is "partial 16S ribosomal RNA". It matches the Rfam family "Bacterial small subunit ribosomal RNA", at positions 338 to 795 of the family's 1533-position model. The record is from RNAcentral.